CUUCGUGGUUGGAAAGAUUUUUCGGUUUGGGAUGGGCUCGCGGCCUAUCAGCUUGUUGGUGAGGUAAUGGCUCACCAAGGCGUCGACGGGUAGCCGGCCUGAGAGGGUGACCGGCCACACUGGGACUGAGACACGGCCCAGACUCCUACGGGAGGCAGCAGUGGGGAAUAUUGCACAAUGGGCGGAAGCCUGAUGCAGCAACGCCGCGUGAGGGAUGACGGCCUUCGGGUUGUAAACCUCUUUUAGCAGGGAAGAAGCGAAAGUGACGGUACCUGCAGAAAAAGCGCCGGCUAACUACGUGCCAGCAGCCGCGGUAAUACGUAGGGCGCAAGCGUUAUCCGGAAUUAUUGGGCGUAAAGAGCUCGUAGGCGGUUUGUCGCGUCUGCUGUGAAAUCUGGGGGCUCAACCCCCAGCCUGCAGUGGGUACGGGCAGACUAGAGUGCGGUAGGGGAGAUUGGAAUUCCUGGUGUAGCGGUGGAAUGCGCAGAUAUCAGGAGGAACACCGAUGGCGAAGGCAGAUCUCUGGGCCGUAACUGACGCUGAGGAGCGAAAGGGUGGGGAGCAAACAGGCUUAGAUACCCUGGUAGUCCACCCCGUAAACGUUGGGAACUAGUUGUGGGGUCCAUUCCACGGAUUCCGUGACGCAGCUAACGCAUUAAGUUCCCCGCCUGGGGAGUACGGCCGCAAGGCUAAAACUCAAAGGAAUUGACGGGGACCCGCACAAGCGGCGGAGCAUGCGGAUUAAUUCGAUGCAACGCGAAGAACCUUACCAAGGCUUGACAUACACGAGAACGCUGCAGAAAUGUAGAACUCUUUGGACACUCGUGAACAGGUGGUGCAUGGUUGUCGUCAGCUCGUGUCGUGAGAUGUUGGGUUAAGUCCCGCAACGAGCGCAACCCUCGUUCUAUGUUGCCAGCACGUAAUGGUGGGAACUCAUGGGAUACUGCCGGGGUCAACUCGGAGGAAGGUGGGGAUGACGUCAAAUCAUCAUGCCCCUUAUGUCUUGGGCUUCACGCAUGCUACAAUGGCCGGUACAAAGGGCUGCAAUACCGUGAGGUGGAGCGAAUCCCAAAAAGCCGGUCCCAGUUCGGAUUGAGGUCUGCAACUCGACCUCAUGAAGUCGGAGUCGCUAGUAAUCGCAGAUCAGCAACGCUGCGGUGAAUACGUUCCCGGGUCUUGUACACACCGCCCGUCAAGUCAUGAAAGUCGGUAACACCUGAAGCCGGUGGCCCAACCCUUGUGGANGGAGCCGUCGAAGGUGGGAUCGGUAAUUAGGACUAAGUCGUAACANGGUAACCA
This 1299-nucleotide ribosomal RNA is filed under the name Microbacterium aurantiacum. RNAcentral describes it as "bacterial SSU rRNA". It matches the Rfam family "Bacterial small subunit ribosomal RNA", at positions 191 to 1502 of the family's 1533-position model. The record is from RNAcentral. Lineage: Bacteria; Bacillati; Actinomycetota; Actinomycetes; Micrococcales; Microbacteriaceae.